Molecule: ribosomal RNA, 492 nt
Filed under: uncultured bacterium
Lineage: Bacteria
Description: partial 16S ribosomal RNA
Rfam family: Bacterial small subunit ribosomal RNA
Source: RNAcentral
GGUGAACGCUGGCGGCAUGCCUAACACAUGCAAGUCGAACGGCAACACGGUGAGCUCUCGCUCCUGCGGGUGGCGACUGGCGGACGGGUGAGGAAUACAUCGGAUUCCUCUUUUUCGGGGGUGACAACGUAGGGCAACUUAUGCUACUACCGAAUAUGACCUACGGGUUAAAGCAGGAGUUCUUCGCACUUUUCGUGUUUGUUUUAGCCGAUGUCGGAUUAGCUAGUUGGCGUGGUAAAGGCCCACCAAGGCGACGAUGCGUAGCUGAUCUGAGAGGAUGAUCAGCCACACUGGAACUGAGACACGGUCCAGACUCCUACGGGAGGCAGCAGUAGGGAAUAUUGGACAAUGGGCGCAAGCCUGAUCCAGCCAUGCCGCGUGGGUGAAGAAGGCCUUCGGGUUGUAAAGCCCUUUUGUUGGGAAAGAAAAGCAGCAGGUUAAACCCCCGCUGUUCUGACGGUACCCAAAGAAUAAGCACCGGCUAACUUCGUG